GUGGGUUGCAAUCGGCUUAUUAUGAACUCUAAUAAUAUUAAGGUCAUUGAUACCAUGAAGAAUGGAGGAUGAUCCACGGGAGCAGCAACAGCGGUUUUUGAGGAUUAUUAUUUUCUAGCUUGUGAUUUUCCUUUUAUUAGUUUUGAACAUUGUAACAGAAAAGCGAAUAAGGUUGUCCGUGAACUUACUAGGUUAGCUAAAUUCUCCGCAACAAGUGAUUGGUUUGACGAGCCCUUGGAUGAUAUUGUGCCUCUUUUUAUAAACAGUGUAACGGUUGUUUGCAAUUAA
RNAcentral lists this ribosomal RNA (288 nucleotides) under Triticum aestivum (bread wheat). Its description in RNAcentral is "partial small subunit ribosomal RNA". Lineage: Eukaryota; Viridiplantae; Streptophyta; Magnoliopsida; Poales; Poaceae. The record is from RNAcentral.